Long non-coding RNA from Homo sapiens (human), 1485 nucleotides. RefSeq annotates it as JAKMIP1 divergent transcript. The transcript is spliced from 4 exons. The record is from RefSeq and is marked validated. Lineage: Eukaryota; Metazoa; Chordata; Mammalia; Primates; Hominidae.
GAGCUGCCGGAGCGUGCGCACUGGGCCAGCGGGCGGCCGGGGCAGGGCUGGGGUCCCGGCGCUGAGCGCCCCCAGCCGCGCCGGGCAGCCUGGCGCCUCGCUGAGUCGGAGCAACCCCCGGCAGGAGCUUUCAGGCUCUGGUCAAGCCUCGGGACCCGGGAAGCUAUCCCUGCCCUCGGGGGCUCGAGCCUGGAGUGGGGCUUGCAGAAAAGGAAAGGGGGCUGGCCUAAAGGCAAGAAGAGAAACCCCCCGAGGGACCUUGCUGUUCCGUGUUCCUACGACAGGGUACAUGAUAUUCCUGAAUGAGCAGAGAAGUCAGCUGAGGGCCACACACCCCGAUCUGCCUUUCACAGAAAUCAUGAAGAUGCUGGCUGUUCAGUGGGCCCAGCUGUCUCAGGAUAAAAAGGGGGAGAUGAACUCAAUGACCUCUACUGCGGGACCUCCAGGCAGCUCUUCAGCUCCCUGUGCAACAAGAAGGAACCUGCUGCAAAGGCAGCACCUGCAGCGCCUCUCAGGUAACCAGCCUGGGCCAGGCGGCUCAGCCGCAAACGCUGGCCUUGACUCCACCUGCGCCAGAGGUCACCAACAGGCGGCCCACGUGACACCUCUUGUUAUUAAAAUGCAAUUUUAAGACAGACUCUAGUCAAGCCCACUUACCACCAGGUGGGUGUUUAGGACAGGGUAGGUCUUCCACUAUAUCUGUUUUCCUCUUAGUUCGCCAGGCCCGCCUGCUCUGGGCCACGCAGGACACGGACGUCAGCUUCUCCUGGAGCGCUCGCUCACUUUAUUCCAUCUCUACGAGCUCCUCAAGUAUCCCAGAGCAUCCCCAGGCCUGUGGCCACCUCGGGUCUGGAUGCCGCAUUCUCUGACCUGUGGCACAUUCUGGGUGCCCAUGAUUAUGAUGAGGUUCUGUGCCCAUGUGGCCUCAGGGCUCUUGAGACCACCCUUCAACCAGGUCUUUGCUCACCUGUCUCCUGCCCAGGGACGCCACCCAGGUCACCGGUGCAAACCUCCAGCCCCUGCCCGUUUCUCUCCAUGAGUGCAUUGCCACCUCGCAGCCUCUUCCACUUGCUCAUUCCUGGUGUUAUUGCCUGUCUCCCACUGGAAGAGAAGGCCCUCAAGUUCAGCAACUGUUUUGCCUGUUUUGUUCACUGUGGUGAACCCCGGGCCUAGAACCACGCCUGGCACUCCCAGUAGGUGCUCAAUAAGUAUCCAAUGAGUGGACAAAUGAAUGGAUGUGUUCAACAAAUGACCCUAGAGCGUGUAUUCCUUCCAGGGACAGAGCGAGGUACUGGGGACACAGGAAGGACGAGGCAGAGCUCCGCGCUGACGAAACCAAGGGCCAAGCGUGCGAGUGAAUACGAACAUCCUGGCGUUAAAACGUCUUGCAUUCUAGUGAAAUGAGACCCAUUGGACACAGAGAAGCCCCACCACAAUUGCAUCUGUGUAAAAUCGAGAGAAAGAUCGUGAAAACAGCCAUGGCAG